Molecule: ribosomal RNA, 497 nt
Filed under: uncultured bacterium
Lineage: Bacteria
Description: partial 16S ribosomal RNA
Rfam family: Bacterial small subunit ribosomal RNA
Source: RNAcentral
GAUGAACGCUGGCGGCGUGCCUAAUACAUGCAAGUCGAGCGAACAGACGAGGAGCUUACUCCUCUGACGUUAGCGGCGGACGGGUGAGUAACACGUGGAUAACCUACCUAUAAGACUGGGAUAACUUCGGGAAACCGGAGCUAAUACCGGAUAACAUGUUGAACCGCAUGGUUCAACAGUGAAAGACGGUCUUGCUGUCACUUAUAGAUGGAUCCGCGUCGCAUUAGCUAGUUGGUAAGGUGACGGCUUACCAAGGCAACGAUGCGUAGCCGACCUGAGAGGGUGAUCGGCCACACUGGAACUGAGACACGGUCCAGACUCCUACGGGAGGCAGCAGUAGGGAAUCUUCCGCAAUGGGCGAAAGCCUGACGGAGCAACGCCGCGUGAGUGAAGAAGGUCUUCGGAUCGUAAAACUCUGUUAUUAGGGAAGAACAAAUGUGUAAGUAACUAUGCACGUCUUGACGGUACCUAAUCAGAAAGCCACGGCUAACUACGUG